GAUCAAGCGUCAAAAGGGCAUUCGGUGGAUGCCUUGGCAUGCACAGGCGAUGAAGGACGUGAUACGCUGCGAUAAGCCAUGGGGAGCUGCGAAUAAGCUUUGAUCCGUGGAUUUCCGAAUGGGGAAACCCACCUUAGAUGCCUAGAAAAUCAGAACUGCGGCCUUGAGCAAUCAGGGGUGCGGUUGUGGUUUCUAGGUAUCGUUACAAGGUAUCUUAUCCUGAAUACAUAGGGGUAAGAAGCGAACGCGGGGAACUGAAACAUCUAAGUACCCGUAGGAAAGGACAUCAACCGAGACUCCGUCAGUAGCGGCGAGCGAACGCGGACCAGGCCAGUGGCAUGGUUAAGUAAAGUGGAACGAUCUGGAAAGUUCGGCCGGAGCGGGUGAUAGCCCCGUACACGUAAUCCUUCUCCAUGUCCUAGAGUAAGGCGGGACACGUGAAAUCCUGUCUGAACGUGGGGGGACCACCCUCCAAGCCUAAGUACUCGUGCAUGACCGAUAGCGAACAAGUACCGUGAGGGAAAGGUGAAAAGCACCCCGACAAGGGGAGUGAAAUAGUUCCUGAAACCGGAUGCCUACAAGCAGUCGGAGGGCGAAAGCCUGACGGCGUACCUUUUGUAUAAUGGGUCAACGACUUAGUGCAGCAAGCAAGCUUAAGCCGAUAGGUGUAGGCGCAGCGAAAGCGAGUCUUAAUAGGGCGAUUAGUUUGUUGCAUUAGACCCGAAACCGAGUGAUCUAGCCAUGAGCAGGUUGAAGGUUGGGUAACACCAACUGGAGGACCGAACCCGCAUCUGUUGCAAUAGAUUGGGAUGACUUGUGGUUAGGGGUGAAAGGCCAAUCAAACUCGGAGAUAGCUGGUUCUCCGCGAAAUCUAUUUAGGUAGAGCGUCGACCGAAUACCCUCGGGGGUAGAGCACUGGAUGGGCUAUGGGGACUCACCGUCUUACUGAUCCUAACCAAACUCCGAAUACCGAGGAGUACUAGUCGGCAGACACACGGCGGGUGCUAACGUCCGUCGUGAAAAGGGAAACAACCCUGACCUCCAGCUAAGGUCCCCAAGUCAUGGCUAAGUGGGAAAGGAUGUGAGACUCCCAAAACAACCAGGAUGUUGGCUUAGAAGCAGCCAUCAUUUAAAGAAAGCGUAACAGCUCACUGGUCUAAAUAAGGGGUCUUGCGCCGAAAAUGUACCGGGGCUCAAGCCAUGCACCGAAGCUGAGGAUGUGCACGCAAGUGUACGUGGUAGCGGAGCGUUCUGUAAGUCUGUGAAGGGAGACCCGUGAGGGCUCCUGGAGAUAUCAGAAGUGCGAAUGUUGACAUGAGUAACGAUAAAGGGAGUGAGAGACUCCCUCGCCGAAAGACCAAGGGUUCCUGCUUAAAGUUAAUCUGAGCAGGGUGAGCCGGCCCCUAAGGCGAGGCCGAAAGGCGUAGUCGAUGGGAACCACGUUAAUAUUCGUGGGCCUGGUGGUAGUGACGGAUCUCGUGUGUUGUAUCUCCUUAUUGGAUUGGAGGUGCAGCGAAGAGGUUCCAGGAAAUAGCUCCACCGUAUAGACCGUACCCGAAACCGACACAGGUGGUCAGGUAGAGAAUACCAAGGCGCUUGAGAGAACUGCGUUGAAGGAACUCGGCAAAUUGCACGCGUAACUUCGGAAGAAGCGUGACCCUCACUCACGCAAGUGGAUGAGGGUGGCACAGACCAGGGGGUAGCGACUGUUUAUCAAAAACACAGUGCUCUGCGAAGUCGCAAGACGACGUAUAGGGCCUGACGCCUGCCCGGUGCUGGAAGGUUAAGAGGAGAGGUGCAAGCUUUGAAUCGAAGCCCCAGUAAACGGCGGCCGUAACUAUAACGGUCCUAAGGUAGCGAAAUUCCUUGUCGGGUAAGUUCCGACCUGCACGAAUGGCGUAACGACUUCCCCGCUGUCUCCAACGCAGACUCAGUGAAAUUGAAUUCCCCGUGAAGAUGCGGGGUUCCCGCGGUCAGACGGAAAGACCCUAUGAACCUUUACUGCAGCUUCGCCUUGGCGUUAGCGGCAACAUG
RNAcentral lists this ribosomal RNA (2034 nucleotides) under Caulobacter sp. RNAcentral's name for it is "partial 23S ribosomal RNA". It matches the Rfam family "Bacterial large subunit ribosomal RNA", at positions 1 to 2136 of the family's 2925-position model. The record is from RNAcentral. Lineage: Bacteria; Pseudomonadati; Pseudomonadota; Alphaproteobacteria; Caulobacterales; Caulobacteraceae.